AGGACGAACGCUGGCGGCAGGCCUAACACAUGCAAGUCGAGCGCCCCGCAAGGGGAGCGGCAGACGGGAGAGUAACACGUGGGAACGUACCCUUCAGUUCGGAACAACCCAGGGAAACUUGGGCUAAUACCGGAUACGUCCGUAAGGAGAAAGAUUUAUCGCUGAAGGAUCGGCCCGCGUCUGAUUAGCUAGUUGGUGGGGUAACGGCUCACCAAGGCGACGAUCAGUAGCUGGUCUGAGAGGAUGAUCAGCCACAUUGGGACUGAGACACGGCCCAAACUCCUACGGGAGGCAGCAGUGGGGAAUAUUGGACAAUGGGCGCAAGCCUGAUCCAGCCAUGCCGCGUGAGUGAUGAAGGCCUUAGGGUUGUAAAGCUCUUUUACCUGGGAAGAUAAUGACGGUACCAGGAGAAUAAGCCCCGGCUAACUUCGUGCCAGCAGCCGC
This 444-nucleotide ribosomal RNA is filed under the name uncultured bacterium. RNAcentral describes it as "SSU rRNA". It matches the Rfam family "Bacterial small subunit ribosomal RNA", at positions 26 to 518 of the family's 1533-position model. The record is from RNAcentral.